AAAUUGAAGAGUUUGAUCAUGGCUCAGAUUGAACGCUGGCGGCAGGCCUAACACAUGCAAGUCGAACGGUAACAGGAAGCAGCUUGCUGCUUCGCUGACGAGUGGCGGACGGGUGAGUAAUGUCUGGGAAACUGCCUGAUGGAGGGGGAUAACUACUGGAAACGGUGGCUAAUACCGCAUAACGUCGCAAGACCAAAGAGGGGGACCUUCGGGCCUCUUGCCAUCAGAUGUGCCCAGAUGGGAUUAGCUAGUUGGUGAGGUAACGGCUCACCAAGGCGACGAUCCCUAGCUGGUCUGAGAGGAUGACCAGCCACACUGGAACUGAGACACGGUCCAGACUCCUACGGGAGGCAGCAGUGGGGAAUAUUGCACAAUGGGCGCAAGCCUGAUGCAGCCAUGCCGCGUGUAUGAAGAAGGCCUUCGGGUUGUAAAGUACUUUCAGCGGGGAGGAAGGUGUUGUGGUUAAUAACCACAGCAAUUGACGUUACCCGCAGAAGAAGCACCGGCUAACUCCGUGCCAGCAGCCGCGGUAAUACGGAGGGUGCAAGCGUUAAUCGGAAUUACUGGGCGUAAAGCGCACGCAGGCGGUCUGUCAAGUCGGAUGUGAAAUCCCCGGGCUCAACCUGGGAACUGCAUUCGAAACUGGCAGGCUUGAGUCUUGUAGAGGGGGGUAGAAUUCCAGGUGUAGCGGUGAAAUGCGUAGAGAUCUGGAGGAAUACCGGUGGCGAAGGCGGCCCCCUGGACAAAGACUGACGCUCAGGUGCGAAAGCGUGGGGAGCAAACAGGAUUAGAUACCCUGGUAGUCCACGCCGUAAACGAUGUCUACUUGGAGGUUGUGCCCUUGAGGCGUGGCUUCCGGAGCUAACGCGUUAAGUAGACCGCCUGGGGAGUACGGCCGCAAGGUUAAAACUCAAAUGAAUUGACGGGGGCCCGCACAAGCGGUGGAGCAUGUGGUUUAAUUCGAUGCAACGCGAAGAACCUUACCUGGUCUUGACAUCCACAGAACUUUCCAGAGAUGGACUGGUGCCUUCGGGAACUGUGAGACAGGUGCUGCAUGGCUGUCGUCAGCUCGUGUUGUGAAAUGUUGGGUUAAGUCCCGCAACGAGCGCAACCCUUAUCCUUUGUUGCCAGCGGUUAGGCCGGGAACUCAAAGGAGACUGCCAGUGAUAAACUGGAGGAAGGUGGGGAUGACGUCAAGUCAUCAUGGCCCUUACGACCAGGGCUACACACGUGCUACAAUGGCGCAUACAAAGAGAAGCGACCUCGCGAGAGCAAGCGGACCUCAUAAAGUGCGUCGUAGUCCGGAUUGGAGUCUGCAACUCGACUCCAUGAAGUCGGAAUCGCUAGUAAUCGUGGAUCAGAAUGCCACGGUGAAUACGUUCCCGGGCCUUGUACACACCGCCCGUCACACCAUGGGAGUGGGUUGCAAAAGAAGUAGGUAGCUUAACCUUCGGGAGGGCGCUUACCACUUUGUGAUUCAUGACUGGGGUGAAGUCGUAACAAGGUAACCGUAGGGGAACCUGCGGUUGGAUCACCUCCUUACCUUAAAGAAGC
RNAcentral lists this ribosomal RNA (1554 nucleotides) under Salmonella enterica subsp. enterica serovar Thompson. RNAcentral describes it as "bacterial SSU rRNA". It matches the Rfam family "Bacterial small subunit ribosomal RNA". The record is from RNAcentral. Lineage: Bacteria; Pseudomonadati; Pseudomonadota; Gammaproteobacteria; Enterobacterales; Enterobacteriaceae.